Molecule: ribosomal RNA, 542 nt
Filed under: uncultured archaeon
Lineage: Archaea
Description: bacterial SSU rRNA
Rfam family: Bacterial small subunit ribosomal RNA
Source: RNAcentral
CAGCCGCCGCGGUAAUACGUAGGGUCCGAGCGUUGUCCGGAAUUAUUGGGCGUAAAGAGCUCGUAGGCGGCGUGUCGCGUCUGCUGUGAAAGACCGGGGCUUAACUCCGGUUCUGCAGUGGAUACGGGCACGCUAGAGGUAGGUAGGGGAGACUGGAAUUCCUGGUGUAGCGGUGAAAUGCGCAGAUAUCAGGAGGAACACCGGUGGCGAAGGCGGGUCUCUGGGCCUUACCUGACGCUGAGGAGCGAAAGCAUGGGGAGCGAACAGGAUUAGAUACCCUGGUAGUCCAUGCCGUAAACGUUGGGCGCUAGGUGUGGGGACUUUCCACGGUUUCCGCGCCGUAGCUAACGCAUUAAGCGCCCCGCCUGGGGAGUACGGCCGCAAGGCUAAAACUCAAAGGAAUUGACGGGGGCCCGCACAAGCGGCGGAGCAUGUUGCUUAAUUCGACGCAACGCGAAGAACCUUACCAAGGUUUGACAUCACCCGUGGACCUGUAGAGAUACAGGGUCAUUUAGUUGGUGGGUGACAGGAGGUGCAUGGCC